CCUACGGGAGGCUGCAGUGGGGAAUAUUGGACAAUGGGCGAAAGCCUGAUCCAGCCAUGCCGCGUGUGUGAAGAAGGCCUUCGGGUUGUAAAGCACUUUCAGUGGGGAAGAAAGCCUUGGGGCUAAUACCCUCGAGGAAGGACAUCACCUACAGAAGAAGCACCGGCUAACUCCGUGCCAGCAGCCGCGGUAAUACGGAGGGUGCGAGCGUUAAUCGGAAUUACUGGGCGUAAAGCGCGCGUAGGCGGUCUGAUAAGCCGGUUGUGAAAGCCCCGGGCUCAACCUGGGAACGGCAUCCGGAACUGUCAGGCUAGAGUGCAGGAGAGGAAGGUAGAAUUCCCGGUGUAGCGGUGAAAUGCGUAGAGAUCGGGAGGAAUACCAGUGGCGAAGGCGGCCUUCUGGACUGACACUGACGCUGAGGUGCGAAAGCGUGGGUAGCAAACAGGAUUAGAUACCCUGGUAGUC
Molecule: ribosomal RNA, 465 nt
Filed under: Vreelandella stevensii
Lineage: Bacteria; Pseudomonadati; Pseudomonadota; Gammaproteobacteria; Oceanospirillales; Halomonadaceae
Description: partial 16S ribosomal RNA
Rfam family: Bacterial small subunit ribosomal RNA
Source: RNAcentral